This 115-nucleotide ribosomal RNA is filed under the name Diaphorina citri (Asian citrus psyllid). Lineage: Eukaryota; Metazoa; Arthropoda; Insecta; Hemiptera; Psyllidae. The record is from RNAcentral.
CCCAGCAGCGACAGCACGUUGAUUGCACCAGUUUCCCUUGGAUCACUGAAGUUGAGCAACGUUACGCGUGGUUAGUAUAUGGAUGACCCAUUGGGACAAUCGCAUUCUGCUGGAU